GACGAACGCUGGCGGCGUGCCUAAUACAUGCAAGUAGAACGCUGAAGGAGGAGCUUGCUUCUCCGGAUGAGUUGCGAACGGGUGAGUAACGCGUAGGUAACCUGCCUGGUAGCGGGGGAUAACUAUUGGAAACGAUAGUUAAUACCGCAUAACAGUAGAUAUUGCAUGAUAUCUGCUUGAAAGGUGCAAUUGCAUCACUACCAGAUGGACCUGCGUUGUAUUAGCUAGUUGGUGAGGUAACGGCUCACCAAGGCGACGAUACAUAGCCGACCUGAGAGGGUGAUCGGCCACACUGGGACUGAGACACGGCCCAGACUCCUACGGGAGGCAGCAGUAGGGAAUCUUCGGCAAUGGACGGAAGUCUGACCGAGCAACGCCGCGUGAGUGAAGAAGGUUUUCGGAUCGUAAAGCUCUGUUGUAAGAGAAGAACGAGUGUGAGAGUGGAAAGUUCACACUGUGACGGUAUCUUACCAGAAAGGGACGGCUAACUACGUG
Molecule: ribosomal RNA, 495 nt
Filed under: uncultured bacterium
Lineage: Bacteria
Description: partial 16S ribosomal RNA
Rfam family: Bacterial small subunit ribosomal RNA
Source: RNAcentral